RNAcentral lists this ribosomal RNA (256 nucleotides) under uncultured bacterium. RNAcentral describes it as "partial 16S ribosomal RNA". It matches the Rfam family "Bacterial small subunit ribosomal RNA", at positions 96 to 353 of the family's 1533-position model. The record is from RNAcentral.
UGGCGGACGGGUGAGUAAUGUCUGGGAAACUGCCUGAUGGAGGGGGAUAACUACUGGAAACGGUAGCUAAUACCGCAUAACGUCACAAGACCAAAGAGGGGGACCUUCGGGCCUCUUGCCAUCGGAUGUGCCCAGAUGGGAUUAGCUAGUAGGUGGGGUAAAGGCUCACCUAGGCGACGAUCCCUAGCUGGUCUGAGAGGAUGACCAGCCACACUGGAACUGAGACACGGUCCAGACUCCUACGGGAGGCAGCAUG